Non-coding RNA from Aptenodytes forsteri (emperor penguin), 78 nucleotides. The record is from Rfam. Lineage: Eukaryota; Metazoa; Chordata; Aves; Sphenisciformes; Spheniscidae.
UGCACCGUUGGGCUGCAUCAGUCAUGCCAUGUUAUGAAACCUAACGCGAUGUGACUGAUGUAUGCUGACAUGAUGUGU